GCAGUGGGGAAUAUUGCACAAUGGGCGCAAGCCUGAUGCAGCGACGCCGCGUGAGGGAUGGAGGCCUUCGGGUUGUAAACCUCUUUUAUCGGGGAGCAAGCGAGAGUGAGUUUACCCGUUGAAUAAGCACCGGCUAACUACGUGCCAGCAGCCGCGGUAAUACGUAGGGUGCAAGCGUUAUCCGGAAUUAUUGGGCGUAAAGGGCUCGUAGGCGGUUCGUCGCGUCCGGUGUGAAAGUCCAUCGCUUAACGGUGGAUCCGCGCCGGGUACGGGCGGGCUUGAGUGCGGUAGGGGAGACUGGAAUUCCCGGUGUAACGGUGGAAUGUGUAGAUAUCGGGAAGAACACCAAUGGCGAAGGCAGGUCUCUGGGCCGUUACUGACGCUGAGGAGCGAAAGCGUGGGGAGCGAACAGGAUUAGAUACCCUGGUAGUCCACGCCGUAAACGGUGGAUGCUGGAUGUGGGGCCCGUUCCACGGGUUCCGUGUCGGAGCUAACGCGUUAAGCAUCCCGCCUGGGGAGUACGGCCGCAAGGCUAAAACUCAAAGAAAUUGACGGGGGCCCGCACAAGCGGCGGAGCAUGCGGAUUAAUUCGAUGCAACGCGAAGAACCUUACCUGGGCUUGACAUGUUCCCGACGGUCGUAGAGAUACGGCUUCCCUUCGGGGCGGGUUCACAGGUGGUGCAUGGUCGUCGUCAGCUCGUGUCGUGAGAUGUUGGGUUAAGUCCCGCAACGAGCGCAACCCUCGCCCCGUGUUGCCAGCGGAUUAUGCCGGGAACUCACGGGGGACCGCCGGGGUUAACUCGGAGGAAGGUGGGGAUGACGUCAGAUCAUCAUGCCCCUUACGUCCAGGGCUUCACGCAUGCUACAAUGGCCGGUACAACGGGAUGCGACGCGGCGACGCGGAGCGGAUCCCUGAAAACCGGUCUCAGUUCGGAUCGCAGUCUGCAACUCGACUGCGUGAAGGCGGAGUCGCUAGUAAUCGCGAAUCAGCAACGUCGCGGUGAAUGCGUUCCCGGGCCUUGUACACACCGCCCGUCAAGUCAUGAAAGUGGGUAGCACCCGAAGCCGGUGGCCCGACCCUUGUGG
This 1086-nucleotide ribosomal RNA is filed under the name human gut metagenome. RNAcentral's name for it is "bacterial SSU rRNA". It matches the Rfam family "Bacterial small subunit ribosomal RNA", at positions 351 to 1446 of the family's 1533-position model. The record is from RNAcentral.